UGCCAGCCGCCGCGGUAAUACGUAGGGGGCAAGCGUUGUCCGGAUUUAUUGGGCGUAAAGAGCGUGUAGGCGGCCAGAUAGGUCGGUUGUGAAAACUGGAGGCUCAACCUCCAGACGUCGAUCGAAACCCUCUGGCUAGAGUCCGGAAGAGGAGAGUGGAAUUCCUGGUGUAGCGGUGAAAUGCGCAGAUAUCAGGAGGAACACCCGUGGCGAAAGCGGCUCUCUGGGACGGUACUGACGCUGAGACGCGAAAGCGUGGGGAGCGAACAGGAUUAGAUA
RNAcentral lists this ribosomal RNA (279 nucleotides) under uncultured bacterium. RNAcentral's name for it is "partial 16S ribosomal RNA". It matches the Rfam family "Bacterial small subunit ribosomal RNA", at positions 506 to 784 of the family's 1533-position model. The record is from RNAcentral.